RNAcentral lists this long non-coding RNA (618 nucleotides) under Androctonus crassicauda. The record is from RNAcentral. Lineage: Eukaryota; Metazoa; Arthropoda; Arachnida; Scorpiones; Buthidae.
UUCUUUUAUUUUCAUUUUACUCUUUGUUUUAAGGAUUUUUGAUCACAUCUAUGUCUGUCUUUAUUACACUUCAGAUAUUUGUAUUUUCAAAAAAUGUUCAUGUUUCUAGUGCAAUGUUUCUUUCAUACUGUUACAGCAUUUUUAUAUUUAUUUCAUUUGCAUUUAUUUUUUCUAGCUGUUUUUGUUUUCAUCUCAGCCAAUAUAGAUUCCAAGGGAAAAAGGAGAAAGAAAUCAACAACAUUUGGCAUUUGAUCAAAUUACGGACAGAGCAAUGGCCAUGGUGAAAACAGUGAAGAAAAAAUACCAGUGAUCUUUUUCAGAAAGAAUAGAAACUGAAAUUAUGGUUAUCCUUAUUAGUAUAGCAAGAUGGUCAGUGACUGGAAAUUCCAGGAAAAUUGUGAAUUAAGCAUGAAUUUUGCCCACCAGGAAAAAACUGGGAAUUAUGCAUGGAAAUUUCCUUAAAUCAGAAAAAUUAAGAAAUAUGAUGUUAGUUUGCAUUAUAAUUUAAAAUUUAAUAAAUUUUGAGAAGGACAGACACUAGUGAUACUGCACCUGGUUUUUCUUUAUUUAAAUUUUGAAGCAUCAAUAUAUUUGCAGUUAAUAGCAGUUUGUAUAUCA